CGACGCCUCGCCGCUGCCGUGACACCAGCUUCCAGCGGCCUCGCAGACCAGGAGGUCCGAGGUUUUGGUGAGCUGCAUUUCCCAGCGGCAAGCAUCCAGCAUACAAGGAGAAAUCAGAAGGGUAAGUCUGUUCUUUCUGAUGCCAGUGUGUCCAGCUGAGGUAUUUUUUGGCAGUGACUCCCACCACCAGUAAGAAAUUGCUGGCAAUUGUGUGGAGUUGUAGUCUUUCAGAGGUGACAGCUGACUCCUGGAGAAACUACUUUUGCCUCAGAGAAAGUCUCUCAAGCCUCCCUACCUUUUCUAUAAGGAGAUUUCUUCCAAGCAAGUACUGCCCUCACUGUACUGCCAGACAACAGUUCCUACUGGUGGAUACUUCAAAGGAAAACCAUACCAAGAGCUUGUAUGGUGAAAAUGAUUGAAAACAGGAAGCUGAAGACUCCAAAGAAUGGGAGUUACAGGAUUUGGCCAAGUUUUUUUGACAAAGUACCGAUGUGACAAAGACUGAGAAGGACCAAACAAGCCAGGAGUAACAUUUUAGCAGUGCAGUAACAGAACUGGAAAAUACAAGAAGUAACCAAGUUCAUUUUCAUAACAGAAGAAUAAAAAGCACGCAAAAGGAAGUGAAUCCCUUCUCAUAGAAAACAAUGCAGUUUGGGUAUAACUGAUCUGUAUUUCAGUGCAGCAACAGAAUGUCUGCUUUAACAAUAGACACAAUAAAAGAAAACAUUAAAGACAAGUAAGUUACUUAGAAAAUUAGUCCUCACCAUUUCUGAGGU
This is a long non-coding RNA of Dromaius novaehollandiae (emu), 776 nucleotides long. RefSeq lists it as uncharacterized. The transcript has 4 exons. The record is from RefSeq and is a predicted model, not a curated record. NCBI's taxonomy places the organism in Eukaryota, Metazoa, Chordata, Aves, Casuariiformes, Dromaiidae.